RNAcentral lists this ribosomal RNA (440 nucleotides) under uncultured Duganella sp. RNAcentral's name for it is "bacterial SSU rRNA". It matches the Rfam family "Bacterial small subunit ribosomal RNA", at positions 358 to 790 of the family's 1533-position model. Lineage: Bacteria; Pseudomonadati; Pseudomonadota; Betaproteobacteria; Burkholderiales; Oxalobacteraceae. The record is from RNAcentral.
GGAAUUUUGGACAAUGGGCGCAAGCCUGAUCCAGCAAUGCCGCGUGAGUGAAGAAGGCCUUCGGGUUGUAAAGCUCUUUUGUCAGGGAAGAAACGGACUUUUCUAAUACAGAGGUCUAAUGACGGUACCUGAAGAAUAAGCACCGGCUAACUACGUGCCAGCAGCCGCGGUAAUACGUAGGGUGCAAGCGUUAAUCGGAAUUACUGGGCGUAAAGCGUGCGCAGGCGGUUUUGUAAGACUGUCGUGAAAUCCCCGGGCUCAACCUGGGAAUGGCGAUGGUGACUGCAAGGCUAGAGUUUGGCAGAGGGGGGUAGAAUUCCACGUGUAGCAGUGAAAUGCGUAGAUAUGUGGAGGAACACCGAUGGCGAAGGCAGCCCCCUGGGUCAAAACUGACGCUCAUGCACGAAAGCGUGGGGAGCAAACAGGAUUAGAUACCCUGG